RNAcentral lists this ribosomal RNA (450 nucleotides) under uncultured bacterium. RNAcentral's name for it is "partial 16S ribosomal RNA". It matches the Rfam family "Bacterial small subunit ribosomal RNA", at positions 354 to 796 of the family's 1533-position model. The record is from RNAcentral.
GUGGGGAAUUUUGGACAAUGGGCGAAAGCCUGAUCCAGCCAUGCCGCGUGCAGGAUGAAGGCCUUCGGGUUGUAAACUGCUUUUGUACGGAACGAAAAGACUCCUUCUAAUAAAGGGGGUCCAUGACGGUACCGUAAGAAUAAGCACCGGCUAACUACGUGCCAGCAGCCGCGGUAAUACGUAGGGUGCAAGCGUUAAUCGGAAUUACUGGGCGUAAAGCGUGCGCAGGCGGUUAUAUAAGACAGAUGUGAAAUCCCCGGGCUCAACCUGGGAACUGCAUUUGUGACUGUAUAGCUAGAGUACGGCAGAGGGGGAUGGAAUUCCGCGUGUAGCAGUGAAAUGCGUAGAGAUGCGGAGGAACACCGAUGGCGAAGGCAAUCCCCUGGGCCUGUACUGACGCUCAUGCACGAAAGCGUGGGGAGCAAACAGGAUUAGAAACCCGGGUAGUCC